RNAcentral lists this ribosomal RNA (406 nucleotides) under uncultured bacterium. Its description in RNAcentral is "partial 16S ribosomal RNA". It matches the Rfam family "Bacterial small subunit ribosomal RNA", at positions 28 to 526 of the family's 1533-position model. The record is from RNAcentral.
GAUGAACGCUAGCUACAGGCUUAACACAUGCAAGUCGAGGGACCGGCGCACGGGUGAGUAACACGUAUCCAACCUGCCCUUUACUCGGGGAUAGCCUUUCGAAAGAAAGAUUAAUACCCGAUAUAAAGGAUGGGGAUGCGUGCCAUUAGGUUGUUGGAAAGGUAACGGCCCGCCAAGCCUUCGAUGGAUAGGGGUUCUGAGAGGAAGGCACACCACAUCGGAACUGCGACCCGGUCCAAACUCCUACGGGAGGAAGCAGUGAGGAAUAUUGGACAAUGGGCGCGAGCCUGAACCAGCCAAGUAGCGUGCAGGGUGACGGCCUAUGGGUUGUAAACUGCUUUUGUAUGGGGAUAGGUACCAGACGAAUAAGGACCGGCUAAUUCCGUGCCAGCAGCCGCGGUAAUUC